UACGUAGGGUGCAAGCGUUGUCCGGAAUUAUUGGGCGUAAAGAGCUCGUAGGCGGUCAGUCGCGUCUGCUGUGAAAACUCGGGGCUUAACUCCGGGCCUGCAGUGGGUACGGGCUGACUAGAGUGCGGUAGGGGAGACUGGAAUUCCUGGUGUAGCGGUGAAAUGCGCAGAUAUCAGGAGGAACACCGGUGGCGAAGGCGGGUCUCUGGGCAGUAACUGACGCUGAGGAGCGAAAGCAUGGGGAGCGAACAGG
This 253-nucleotide ribosomal RNA is filed under the name uncultured bacterium. RNAcentral describes it as "partial 16S ribosomal RNA". It matches the Rfam family "Bacterial small subunit ribosomal RNA", at positions 524 to 776 of the family's 1533-position model. The record is from RNAcentral.